Gouania willdenowi (blunt-snouted clingfish) is the source of this 1626-nucleotide long non-coding RNA. Ensembl annotates it as theg spermatid protein like. The record is from Ensembl. Lineage: Eukaryota; Metazoa; Chordata; Actinopteri; Blenniiformes; Gobiesocidae.
UCCAAAGAAUCGGACCACCGAGGAAGUCUUUUCAUAAACCCUGAACUCAGCUGGACUUCAAUCUGGAUCAUUCUAUGUCACUUCAACACAUUUUCAGGACAUCUUGCGCACUUCAGUCUAAAAGUGAAAAACGAAUAAAGAAUAAAUGAUUAUUAGACACAGAGUCAAGCUACAAUGACCUCAUGUGAAGGAUUUUCAAUAUUGUGAAAUAACCCAAAGUUGAGGUCCAAAGUUAUGGACCAAUGAAAAUAGUACAAAAAAGUAUUUUUGUCAGAUUUCCAGAGCGCGUGACCCAAGAACCAAUGCUUAUCUGUGACGAAUCAUUAAUGAUGUGAACAGUCUAUGUUCAUAGCUCUAAGCUGAUCUAAUUACAGGGAGCUGAGACAUAUGCUAAGUAGUUUAAUGAAGGACUAAACAUGUUCCAGACCCAAACACACACUGACUUUUUUCCAAUUUUGGGGGUCUGGCAUGUCCACCAGAUAGGAUGUAUAGCAGAUAUUUUUCAUUAUUCUGAGAGAGUAGGUGGAGCUAUAUUACUGUACCAUAUUUCAGAUUCCUACUGUAUGUGAUGGAGUUCCUGAGAUAUUGGAAGCUGAAAAUGGAAGAAAAAUAAGGACAGAUGGAAAACGACACAUACGACACUAUCUAAAUUGUCCAGAUCACAAAAGGUUUUCAUCCAAUCAAACUAAGAACGAACAAUGUGCCUAUUGAAUAAUCAUGGACCAAAGUGCAUCUGGAGUCUGAUGUUAACGUCAUUAAUUUUCAACACAGAAAAUAGGGAAUGAUCACGAGCAAAUGUGAGUUUAAAACAACAAAGAGAGGAACAGUAGAUUCAGAUAAACUAACAUGUGAAUCAUAAACAUGGGAUGUAAUAUCUUAUAAUGUGUGACAACAUCUGGGAAAGAAAUUGAGUCUAAUGGACGGAAACCGAACACACGAUGGAGGGCUUUAAUGUCUCUGCUUUCCAUCAAGAUGCUGCGAUACCAAACCGUCCCAUGUGGAACGUUGCCAUCACACUGAGACCUGUACCCAUGUCUGCUCUACUGCAGCAGCUCUCCAGACCCAAACCCACCCAUCCAGACCACCUCAGCAACAGGCCGAGUGCAGCUUCCAUCGUCUCCUCUGCGUCUAAAACAACUAGAACCUCCAGUGGAACCACUCGUCUGUCGCUGCCCAAACUGAAGGAAAACAAAAUCUGUCACGAUCUCGGACGACCUGAGGAGUCCAUCUGGACUAUUUCAAAGGCAGCAAAAAAAGCUUCGUCCAGCGUUCGUGUGGAGAUGCUUUCAGAGCCCAAGCAGCUUUCCAAAGACUACGUUCCACCACGAGAACCAGAGUGGAGCCCAAAAAAACCAUCAAACCUCGAUAGAAAAAGAAUUCUUUUUGCUUGAUGUGGUCACUUGAAUGAAUACGAGUGGAAGCAAUAGAGCUUCCAUGAUUCCAGAGCGAUUAUCGUAUGUUACUGUUGUGUUAUAAUCUCUCUUUAAAAAUACAGUUUUAAACUUGCCUUGUAGUUUUAAGGCCACAUGCAGCCCUUUGACUAAAGUAAACCCACAGAAUGACUGCAAAAACACACAAAAUGAAUCAAAAUACAAAUAAAAUUAGCAAAAGAACAUAGAAAAAUCA